UACGUAGGGGGCAAGCGUUGUCCGGAUUUAUUGGGCGUAAAGAGCGUGUAGGCGGCCAAGCAGGUCCGCUGUGAAAACUCGAGGCUCAACCUCGAGACGUCGGUGGAAACCGUUUGGCUAGAGUCCGGAAGAGGAGAGUGGAAUUCCCGGUGUAGCGGUGAAAUGCGUAGAUAUCAGGAGGAACACCGAUGGCGAAGGCAGGUCUCUGGGCUGACACUGACGCUCAUGCACGAAAGCGUGGGGAGCAAACAGG
Molecule: ribosomal RNA, 253 nt
Filed under: uncultured bacterium
Lineage: Bacteria
Description: partial 16S ribosomal RNA
Rfam family: Bacterial small subunit ribosomal RNA
Source: RNAcentral